Molecule: RNA transcript, 5488 nt
Organism: Lepus europaeus (European hare)
Lineage: Eukaryota; Metazoa; Chordata; Mammalia; Lagomorpha; Leporidae
Gene: TTC19
Gene name: tetratricopeptide repeat domain 19
Exons: 13
Source: RefSeq, a predicted model, not a curated record
AUGUACCGGCUCCUCGGCCGGACGCUGGGCCGGGGCCUCCUGCGGGCUGCGGGGCGGCGGGGCGGCGCCGGCUUGCCGCGCCUGCUCCCGGGGCCCGGGGUUCCGGCGGCGCCCUCCCGAGCCGCGCCGCCGCACGGCGGGGGCCCGGGCCUGCUGCCGCUGCUGGCAGCGCUGUCCUGGUUCUCGAGGUCCUCCGAGGCGGAGGAGCAGGAGCAGCGGGGAGCGGACGGCGCGGCCGCCGCCGAGGACGCGGCAGACGAGGCCGAGGCCGAGAUCAUCCGGCUGCUGAAGCGGGCCAAGCUGAGUAUCAUGAAAGAUGAGCCGGAAGAGGCCGAGAUGAUGCUGCACGAUGCCCUUCGCCUCGCCUAUCAGAGCGAUAACAAGAAGGCCAUCACUUACACUUACGAUCUGAUGGCCAACUUAGCAUUUAUUCGGGGUCAACUUGAAAACGCGGAACAGCUUUUUAAAGCAACGAUGAGCUACCUGCUUGGAGGGGGCAUGAAGCAGGAAGACAACGCAAUAAUUGAAAUCUCCUUGAAGCUGGCCAGUAUCUAUGCUGCACAGAAUAAACAGGAAUUUGCUCUCGCUGGCUAUGAAUUCUGCAUCUCAACCCUAGAGGACAAGAUUGAGAAAGAAAAGGAGCUGCCAGAAGACAUUAUGUCAGUGGAAGAGAAGACCAAUACCCACCUCCUCCUGGGCAUGUGCUUGGACGCCUGUGCACGCUACCUGCUGUUCUCCAAGCAGCCGUCACAGGCACAGAGGAUGUACGAGAGAGCUCUGCAGAUCUCUGAGGAAAUACAAGGAGAAAGACACCCCCAGACUGUUGUGCUGAUGAGUGACCUGGCUACUACCCUGGAUGCACAGGGCCGCUUUGAUGAGGCUUUUGUUCACAUGCAGAGGGCGUCGGAGCUAGCGAGACAGAUCGACCACCCCGAGCUGCACAUGGUGCUCAGCAAUCUAGCUGCGGUUCUCAUGCACAGAGAACGAUAUACACAAGCAAGAGAGAUCUACCAGGAAGCCCUGAAGCAAGCAGAGCUGAAAAGAGAUGAGGUUUCUGUACAACACAUCAGGGAAGAAUUGGCUGAGCUGUCGAGAAAAAGCAGUCCUUUGACUUAAUUUAUCAAGCUCUAAAUCCGUUUUUGCUGUAGGCAGAGUGAUUCCCAGGAAUAGCUAGUCUCCCAGUCUCUGUGGCACCCAAAUCCAUGGCUUAAAUCCUUGUUCUGUGUCAGGUUGCCUCAGCUUAGCCUUGGUGAAGGACAGGCUGCGUACACUGCCGCUGGUGGUGACCCGUGGUCGGGCGCCGUCUGUGCUGCUCUGGGGGGUGGGUGUGGAAGCCUGCCUGGCAUCACUGCCCUAAGGUUCUGCUCCACUGAUUCGCUGCCCUCUCUUCUCUCACUUUACCAAUAUCUGGCAAACCAGAGCUACCUGUCUCAUGGCAGAGGGGGAUUAUGGUGAGUUGUUUUUCUUACCUAUUUCAUGAAGCACAGGGUGGGACUGAAUGUAUUAAGGAGGAAAAGUGAUGUCUCUUUUUGCUACCAGAAUCAAGCAUGAAAUUUUAAAGUGGGAAUUAGGCCCUUGAAAGUAUGUCACCCAUUUGUUUAUACAUAAAAGUGAACUACACAUAUCUAGUUUUCUAAGUGUUGAAAACUGGGGGUAGAGAUGAGGAGCCAGGCAGCCUCUUGUCAGUGUUAAAGACUUUUGCCACGUCGGUCACGUGAGCUGAGUCGACCGAGGUGAGAUACAUACACCUGGGCCGCACCAGGGACCUGCUGCACAGUAGGCCCUACAGGUGUAGCGUUUUAGAACUGUUGUGCACUGCUGCUGUAGUGAACCACUGAUCAGGACCCCAGUCCCUCAUCUGUAAAGGGAGGAACACAGGAGGUUGUGUCAGAUGAGUGCACGUGACUAGGCCGCUGUGCUGCCAGGGUUUUAUCACACUGCCUCGGUGUAUCCGUGCCAGAUACACGGGCGGAUGCUCCUAUCACAGCGGUCUUGCAAAUCGCAAUGGUCUAGAGCCAGUUUUUCUAGGUCCCAUGAAGAAACACUGAUAUUGUUGGCAUUCCUGGGGGAGGGGGAGUGAGUGGGACUGAAACUGAUAUUUUUGGUUCAUAUGUAGAAUCUUUUCUUAAUAAACUAGAAACUAUACAAUAUUACAUGUAUUCCAGUAAUCUUUGAGUUUCUCAGAAAAAUUCCUACUGCAGAGUUAAUGAAAAUACUAGAAACUCAGGUAUAAAUCCUCAAGGAUUUGACUAAAACUAGAAUUUUAUAUUUUACAGAUGUAAAUUUCUACCCACUUUAUAUCUAAGUUCAUCUAUUAGCUAUCACCCACCUUAUUCUUUUAAUCAAGUCUAACUCAAAUAAGAUUAACAAGUGAGAUUGUAUUUCAGUGCAACCCAGUCUUAAUUUCUUGGAAAUAGAACAAUUGGUGGCAGCCACUAACCUCCUGCAUCGAGCAUGUUCGCUGCACGGUUACUGAAAGCUGGGUUUUUCACUCCAAGUUUUAUUUAAGAAAACUCAGUCCUUCACAGUGAUUCACUUCAUGGUCCCGCUGCUGGGUGAACUCAAGUCGUUUUCAGAACGACAGCCCAGUCGCGUAGUUCACUUGCACUGUUGUGAAACAACAGGAGAACGGACCCCCUUUACUGGGUUGGUCUGAAUUGUUUAAAACAGUGCAGUUUGAAAUUUGGAAAUGUAUUUCAUCACUGGAGUUUUCAGGACAUAAAUAUUUUAAACAUAGAAUCACUGAGCGUACCAAAAUUAAACAAGAAGUUCCCAAUCUUAAACAUGCACUGGAAAAUUGGCUGUCAGAAUACUUCUUUUAGCAGUAUUAGGAAGACCUGAAUUGUGUUCUGGGUGUGAAACAGAUCAUAAAGAUGCAGCAUCGGAACAGUGACGCCUCAGCCUGCAAAGCUCACACGCUGAUCUGCAGCUCACCGCGGGGGCAGUCGCUCCGAGUGCUCUGCUUGCUGUGGACAGCAGGGUGAGGUGAACCCGCCCUUCCACACGGAUGCACCAUCAGGAGGGCUGCAGGAGUGACCUUCUGUUCUCAAAAACCAUCCUGGCUCUGAGUCACAGUUAAAUACAAUCAUAAUCAUUUCUGGGGUCAGCUGGCAAGAUAAAUUAGUAACAAAUUCUAAAAUACUACCAGUACCUGAAAAAAAAAUUUUGGCAGUAAACUGUUAAGUGGAACAUUUGCUUAUUAUCUUUAUGUGAAAAUUGCAUGGGUGUGAAUACUAUUUUAAAGAUACCAACUUGCCAAACAAUGGGAACUCUGACCAUGAAACCUGACCUGAAGCUUAUUUUAAAAACCUGAAGUAUACAGGAGUGGACCAGUGACAGGAGUGAAGGCUUUCACUCCAGAUACAUGUGGGCUUAUGGCUUACCUUUGCCACUCUAUGGGUAAAGGAUGGACACCUGUGUCUCCAUCGCUACACUAGGGAUUAGACAGCAUCCUUACAGGCCAUCUGAGGGGCUGGCUCAGUGCAUAGCUGGGAGCUGCUGUCUUAAGAGACCCGAGUGCUGCUUAAAAGUCUUAGGUCUGCUUAGAAGUCUGUAAAGUGCUAAUCCUUAUCCUCCUUCUAGCCCUCUGAUCACUCCCCUACCCAGUUACCAGUGGCAUUCUCCCCAGAACAUUACUACAGAUAGACUAUGGAAGGAUGCUCACAUGCUGUGAUUAAAUUAUACUUGAAGAAUCUGAGGAUUCAACGAGUUCUUAUGAAGACUAAAAAACUGACCCUGUAGUACCACACUUAGUUUCCAGUUCAUUCAAUUAUUUACAUCUUGAUAAUCUAUGAAAUGAAAACAUUCAACAGUACUCUCGUCCCGAGGAAGCUCCGCAGGCACAGACUGGGGCCCGGAAGGUGUCCUCUGAGCGAGCUGUCCAGGCAGCAGGAAGCACAGCUCUGUGAUGGAGAUGCUACACAGACCAUUGUCUUUGGACUCAGCCAAUCACAGACAUCAAACUAAAGAAAAUCUCAUUUACUAGUGGCUGGACGGGACUGCUCACCUGUUGAAGAUGGCCUGUCUUCCCAGGCCCACCCUGGCGUCUGCCUGUGGUAGUCCCCCUCGGAAUGCACAGAGGAGACCGAAGAGGGCCGUUCACUUCCCAGGGGGAAGCAAGCAGAGGAGUUACAGCAUCCUCAACACAACCAGGGGAAAACCUGGAAUAGAAAUCUGUGCCACCACCAGGACCUCAGCAGAGGCUCUGCUUUCUCUAGCUGAUGUCUGCAGUGGCGCCUCUCAGGAGCUAAGCAGCAGUGGCUUCCUGGCUGAUGGCACCUGAAGGACUCUGAGGCCUUCCUUUUUGUCCUGUCCUUUUCUACGGCUUAGUUUCAAUUCUGUUAUACUGAAGCUAUCAUUUUUACUAGAAUAGUAAGUCACUUUUAUUUACAAACAGAAUGUGAGGUUGUACUUGGACUGCAGUUCCAGUGUGUGUGUACGGACAGGACUAGAUGCAGACAAAAGCAGAAGCUGCAAUGCCGAAGCAGGUAACCUGCUGGGUAAAAACGUUCUUUCUGCUCCUGUUGCUGUGUCUGGGCAAAGUGUCAGAGAUCUCAGUGAAGUCACUUAGUGAUGCACCAGAACUUAGAAAGUGAAGUAGCUUUUUCCCCGAAAUGGCAGAGAUCACUGAAAUGAAAAAUUACCUGAAUGAGGUGAUGGGUCCCCUUCCUCUCUCCGUGUCUCACUACUGGUCACAACUGACGUGCUGGCGCCACCAGGCACUACUCCCACAGUCUGCGACAGGACCACUCCGUGCUCCUCUACUUUGUCAUCAAAGCUCCCCAUGAGUGCCUUCCUGAUAAUGUCUUCUAGACCAAGAUUACUGGCAGGAUCAGCAAAAGAAUGGCCUCGAGAGCUAACUGAGCCUGGAAGAGACAACCAGAAGCAUUUCCACUCGAUUCCAAGAGGCAGAUCAGAGACGGAGAAGUGACAGGCCACAGGCAGCCCUCCAACUCGGCAGGUGGCCUGCAACAAUACUGACAGCCCACACACAGAGACAGUAUGGGGAGAUGGGUUUCCCCAGGUGAUUCAGCUACCCACACUUCUGCUAACAGCAAGUCACUCAAUUAACUGUUUUAAUGCUUUUUUUAAUUGAAGAUUUAGCUUUCUAUUUGAAAGGCGGACAGAGAUUGAGAGUCUUCCAUCUGCUGGUUCACUCCACCAGAUGGCUGCAAAGGCCAGGGCUGGGCCAGGCUGAAGCCAGGAGCCUGGACUCCACCUAGGGUGGCAGGAGCCCAAGUACUGGGCCAUCUUCUGCUGCCAUCCCAGGCAUAUUAUCAGGGAGCUAGAUCGGAAGUGGAGCAGCUGAGAGUCGAACUUGUACUCCAAUACGGGCUGACCUUGCAACCAGCAGCUAACCUGGUGCGCCAUAAUACCAGCUCCUGUUUUAACAGUUUUUGAUUGUCUUCUGAGUAUUUAUUGAAUCUGCAGUUCCCCUUUCUGUGCUAUUGACUAUCUCUUCCCUGAAUAAAUUACUCAUUUUUACAUA